GUCUAUGGCCAUGCCACCCUGCUCCCGUCUGAUCUUGGAAGCUAAGCAGGGUUGAGACUGGUUAGUACUUGGAUGGGAGACCACCUAGGAAGACCAGGUGCUGUAGGCA
Molecule: ribosomal RNA, 109 nt
Filed under: Pteropus alecto (black flying fox)
Lineage: Eukaryota; Metazoa; Chordata; Mammalia; Chiroptera; Pteropodidae
Source: RNAcentral